Molecule: non-coding RNA, 731 nt
Organism: Coturnix japonica (Japanese quail)
Lineage: Eukaryota; Metazoa; Chordata; Aves; Galliformes; Phasianidae
Source: RefSeq, a predicted model, not a curated record
CCCUCCCUCAGUGCCAGGCUGCGAUGUGAGCAACCUGAGCUAUGGGAGGUGUCCUGCCUACAGCAGGGGGUUGGAACUACGUGACCUUAAAGGUCCCUUCAAAACCAAACCACUCUUAUGAUAUGAUUGAACUUAACUGCAUCCCAGCCUGAGCCAGUGCAGGUGUUGGCAGCUGCUGUACAGAGUGAGGGAAUCAAAUGUUGUUUCUGCAUUUAGAAUAAGAUAAGAAUAUUUUAUUUCAAGGUCUCAUUAUAUAAGUGAAGCAGUUUGUAGUUAUUAGGUAGAAGUUAUUAGGUACAAAGACUGCAGCUCCUGUCUGUCCAGCUGUCUGAAAUAGAGCUAACAAUAUGCCUGUAUAAACUAGCAGCAAUGUAUGUUUUAGUGUUUUGUUGUACGCAUUGUAAAAUUAUACAAGUCGUGACAUACCUAAGGAUGUGCCUGAAGAGAUAUCGGGAAGGACUGGAAUCACACCCCCCCGGGCUCUUUGUUUAACAAAGGCCUCUAGGACAGAAUGGCAGAAGCUUUGAAGGAAAUCAACAUAUCAAUAAGAGUACCAAGACAUCUUGGAAACAGAAACAGCAGGAUGGCGACUGACUAUCACAAGAUAACGCGGGAAUCAACAAAUGUCGGAAUGUAAUGCAAAUCUCGAGUAAAACUGUAACCUGGAAUACCCAAUCAAAGGGGAAACAGGAGGGGAAAACAUAUGGGAGAAAAGGAACAGAAAAGGAAAG